GCAUAUCAAUAAGCGGAGGAAAAGAAACUAACUAGGAUUCCCUUAGUAACGGCGAGUGAACCGGGAUGAGCUCAAAUUUAAAAUCUGGCGUCUUUCAGGCGUCCGAGUUGUAAUCUAUAGAGGCGUUUUCCGCGCCGGACCGCGUCCAAGUCUCUUGGAAUAGAGUAUCAAAGAGGGUGACAAUCCCGUACUUGACGCGACAACCGGUGCUCUGUGAUACGUUCUCAAUGAGUCGAGUUGUUUGGGAAUGCAGCUCUAAAUGGGUGGUAAAUUCCAUCUAAGGCUAAAUAUUGGCGAGAGACCGAUAGCGAACAAGUACCGUGAGGGAAAGAUGAAAAGCACUUUGGAAAGAGAGUUAAACAGCACGUGAAAUUGUUAAAAGGGAAACGAUUGAAGUCAGUCGUGUGAAAGGUAUUCAGCCGUCUCUGGCGGUGUAUUUGCCUUUCACGGGUCAACAUCAGUUUGAUCCGGUAGAAAAAGGCGGGAGGAAGGUGGCACCCUCGGGUGUGUUAUAGCCUCCUGUCAUAUGUGCCGGACCAGACUGAGGAACGCAGCUUGCCGCAAGGCCGGGGUUCGCCCACGUACAAGCUUAGGAUGUUGACAUAAUGGCUUUAAACGACCCGUCUU
This 627-nucleotide ribosomal RNA is filed under the name Vishniacozyma victoriae. RNAcentral's name for it is "partial large subunit ribosomal RNA". It matches the Rfam family "Eukaryotic large subunit ribosomal RNA", at positions 38 to 655 of the family's 3401-position model. The record is from RNAcentral. Lineage: Eukaryota; Fungi; Basidiomycota; Tremellomycetes; Tremellales; Bulleribasidiaceae.